CCUACGGGAGGCAGCAGUGGGGAAUAUUGGACAAUGGGCGAAAGCCUGAUCCAGCAAUGCCGCGUGAGUGAUGAAGGCCCUAGGGUUGUAAAGCUCUUUUACCCGGGAUGAUAAUGACAGUACCGGGAGAAUAAGCUCCGGCUAACUCCGUGCCAGCAGCCGCGGUAAUACGGAGGGAGCUAGCGUUGUUCGGAAUUACUGGGCGUAAAGCGCGCGUAGGCGGUUUUUUAAGUCAGAGGUGAAAGCCCAGUGCUCAACACUGGAACUGCCUUUGAAACUGGAAAACUUGAAUCUUGGAGAGGUCAGUGGAAUUCCGAGUGUAGAGGUGAUAUUAGUAGACAUUCGGAAGAACACCAUUGGAGAAGGUGAAUGACUAGACAAGUAUUGACGAUGAGGUGUGAAAGUGCGGGCAGCAAGCAGGAUAUGAUCACAAUUUAGCCCUCGUAGUGGAGGCAGCAGCCGAUGCAGAAUUCCACGUGUUACUUAUACAAGCCAUGGGCAGACAUAGCAUAAUUCACUGGGGGCCCUGUGGUAAGACACAAACUCAAAUGAAUUGACGG
RNAcentral lists this ribosomal RNA (560 nucleotides) under uncultured bacterium. RNAcentral describes it as "bacterial SSU rRNA". It matches the Rfam family "Bacterial small subunit ribosomal RNA", at positions 338 to 916 of the family's 1533-position model. The record is from RNAcentral.